UCAUUCGGAUCGGAGUCUGCAACCCGACUCCGUGAAGCUGGAUUCGCUAGUAAUCGCGCAUCAGCCAUGGCGCGGUGAAUACGUUCCCGGGCCUUGUACACACCGCCCGUCAAGCCAUGGGAGCCGGGGGUGCUUGAAGUGCGUCGCCGCAAGGCGCGCCCUAGAGCAAAACCGGUGACUGGGGCUAAGUCGUAACAAGGUAUC
Molecule: ribosomal RNA, 204 nt
Filed under: uncultured bacterium
Lineage: Bacteria
Description: partial 16S ribosomal RNA
Rfam family: Bacterial small subunit ribosomal RNA
Source: RNAcentral